GCUUUCAAGACAGUGAAAUGACAUUAGUAUGCCAUUAGGAAGCAAUACACCUAAGAUUUGAAAUUAAGACCCAUAAAAGUGGUUAUCAAUAUUUAUAAGAUAAACAGAACCAAUGCAAACGGACAACACUCCUCCAAACGGGGCUCAGCGUUGCAUAUCUACAGUAACAGUGGGAGCUGCUAAGGAAUUUUAAAACGGCGCUCCAGUGGUAUCAGCCGAAUAGGUUUAAGCUAGGUUUAAUUAAGACACAAAACUGAAUAGAACUGGAGCCAAUUAAAAGAUCACCAAAAGAUCUCAACAAACUGUUCCAAGAAAUUCUCCUUCUCACUCUAAUGUAAAACUUGGGAGUUCUGCUGCCAGCCGCUCCAAUGGGAAGACAUGCCGGUGGAUCCAGCUCCCUGCUUCUCAAACGUGGAACGUAACUCAUUAUUCCUGCCACUCGUGAUAUUCAGCUCCCAUGCCGCUAGAAACCUAAAGGAAAGAGGAGGCAAAUCUUGCUGGGUAAAAGCUACAACAGGUGAUUGUACCUGUUCUUAGGCAGGAUGGACAGGCAAGCAGCAUUAUGGUCUCAAAUCUAACUCACAACGCAGCAUGAUAUCGAAGAUAAUAUCUGCACUGAUUGAAUAGGUUUCCUGCUGCAGGGAAAUGCUUGUUGACAUGCAGGUAUGCACAGUAAUCCAAGAUUAUAAAAAACAUGGACAAAGGCAAAUACUUGUGGGGAGGCUGGUUUUCAAAGAAAAAGCAAUAAGUCUACCUAUUAAGUAUAGGCAUAGCUACGUAUUCUGAAAGAGCCUCAAACGGAUCAAGGUUUCAUCUCAGUGGCAAGGCUUAAUGUUUUGUAAAACACUAAAGGUACAGUCCAAAUUUCCUGUGCAAACGCAUCUCCCUCUAUGUACCAUCGUGGAGAUUAAGAUCCUCCGGGGAGGCCCUGCUUUUCAUCCCGCCAUUGUCACAGGUGGGGACGAGGGACAGCGCCUUCUCGGUGAUUGCUCCCCAGCUAUGGAACUCCCUUCCUUGUGAGAUCAGGUUGGCCCCCUCCCUCCUGU
Molecule: non-coding RNA, 1046 nt
Organism: Anolis sagrei ordinatus
Lineage: Eukaryota; Metazoa; Chordata; Lepidosauria; Squamata; Anolidae
Source: RefSeq, a predicted model, not a curated record